Molecule: long non-coding RNA, 859 nt
Organism: Mytilus californianus (California mussel)
Lineage: Eukaryota; Metazoa; Mollusca; Bivalvia; Mytilida; Mytilidae
Exons: 4
Source: RefSeq, a predicted model, not a curated record
GGAUUAUUGAUAUGCACUUCACUAUUUGUUUUAUUUGUGAUUGCGUUAGUGUUGAUUCAUGUUUAUGUAAAAGACAUUGAUAAAGAUUGGGGAUAUUACAUCCUCUUUCCAUUCGUGGGAGGUUUUUUUGGAGUCUGUAUUUCAUUAAUAUGGAAUUUUUUUCGUGAUGAUAACGUUACCUCCGCAGUUCCUAAGGCGGACAACAAGAUAUGAAAAUGUCAGAUGUCGAAAAAGGGAAACUGUCAACGAAGGCAUCCUGAGAUUGUCGAGUUGGAUAGUCAUUGUAGUCGAAAUAAUGUUCCGAGGCAGAAGUGGUUUCAAAGAUUGCUAAAGAUAGACGUAAUAUGGUAAAUCCAGGUGAACUGAAACCCGCAUUGUUCUUUUUCUCGAAUCGACUAUAAGUCUUCAAUACAUAAAGGAAUGCUUAAAAAUGAAUAAGCCUGAUACCUUCGAUAACUAUUGAGCCUAAUAUAAUCUUUGCAGCCGUCUGAUUCUUCAUAAUUGUUGCUUACAAUUUCUCCUUUCUUACUAGAUUCUUAUAUUGCAUAAAGACUGUCUGAAUACAAUUGUGCAGGAAAAUGUACCACUAAAGUCGUCGGUUAGGGAAUUUAUCUAGUUGUUAAUUGUUAAGAACAGUAAUGCAUUAAUAUAUGAUUGACUAUAUUAGAUGUUGUUUCUGUGAUAUUUGAUAUAUGUUCAAUAAGUACAUUCCACUUGCAAAUAAAUGAAGUAUGUCGUAAAAUGGACUUUGUAAUCAUUUUGCAUUUGUUAUCAGAUCAAGUGUUUUAUUCUGUGGUUAUUCUUUUUCUGAAAAAUGUAAGAUCUUUGUAAAACAUUUUUAUAAACCGAUGAAACUUUA